AAACAAAGGAACACAAACAAGCUUUCAAUCAAAAAGCAAAACCCUCAAUAACAAAUAUGAAGCAACUUCAGAAAUAUCAGAUUACAGAUAUUCUUCAACAACACAAAUACUAUAAAAAUCCACAAAUCUUAUUCCAACACUUGUACCGAGUUUCCCUCAAGUCGAAAGACCGUACUAGUUGUUACUUAUAACACACGUCUUUUUGCUUCAAUAGUAUUCCUUUAACCCUUUUCACAUGGUUCACGCAUCCAUCAAGCUUCCUUUGCUACCCUUAAAGCUUGCAGAGGGCAUUAUCCGUCAACCGUCAAUUCAAUCCAGCCAUGGGUUCCCCGUGGAAGGCUUCCUCGAGCGUCUUGUGGCCUUCCACACCAGGCUGUUGCACUUGAACCCGGAACCGAACGAGAGCUGCCAAACCCGGUCCCCUCUCUUCACCAUCUCUUUUGCCUCCAAGUAAGCCAGCUCGUACCAUAUGCUGCUGCUGGAAGUGUUGCCAAACCUGUGCAGAGUCAUUCUGGACGCUUCGACGUUCUUGUCGCUCAGUUCGAGGUUCCUCUGCAGUUCGUCCAGCACGGUCUUGCUCGCUGCGUGAACACAGAAGUGCUCGAAUGCCAGCUUGUAGUUUGGAAUAUAAGGCUUUGAGGAUGCUGCUGCUGCAGUGCCGGGUUUAUUGCUCUGGGUUUUUCCAAAGAGGUGCCUUUUGACGAGGGUGGCAAAGAAGAGGACUUGCUCUGAGAAUGGUAGCACUAAUGGACCUAGAGUUGUG
Molecule: long non-coding RNA, 763 nt
Filed under: Linum usitatissimum (flax)
Lineage: Eukaryota; Viridiplantae; Streptophyta; Magnoliopsida; Malpighiales; Linaceae
Description: long non-coding RNA (LUSI_LNC003355)
Source: RNAcentral